UAAAUUUUAAGUUAUCUAAACUUGAGAUUUUCAAGGUCUCCAAAAUAAGUAAAUUCUUAUAAAUUUUA
Molecule: transfer RNA, 68 nt
Filed under: Acerentomon microrhinus
Lineage: Eukaryota; Metazoa; Arthropoda; Protura; Acerentomata; Acerentomidae
Description: tRNA-Trp
Source: RNAcentral